AUCAAUCUAACAUGUUUUUUCUGGUCCCUACAUCUCAGGUCUAUAUUAUUGACAUUAAAUCAACGUUGAUUUGAUGUCAGGAAAUAAGACGUCAAAUUGAUGUGAAAUUUAUGUCAAAACAACGUCUGUUAAAAUGUCUGAAAAGGUAUAUUAUUAGCCUACUCAUUGUAAAUCGACGCGAGUUUUUCAACAUCCUGACCCACACAGCAGAGGGUUCCAAAACGGACCCUCUGCGGUGGACUCCGUGCGGAUACACACAUCGAACGCGCCCUUUCCAGUCCUAACGGCUCCUUCAGUUUUCAAAUUUCUCGUUGAUGAAGUGGAAGACGAAACAGCGGCGUCUGAAGGCUGACUGUCAUUCACAAGUGGCUCCAGUCUGGUUUGGUGGUUCUGCCAUCCAAGUAAAGUUAUUCACAAGUGGCUCCAGUCUGGUUUGGGGGUCUACGCUUUCUCAUCCUGUCCUGCCACCCAAG
Sardina pilchardus (European sardine) is the source of this 473-nucleotide long non-coding RNA. RefSeq lists it as uncharacterized. Lineage: Eukaryota; Metazoa; Chordata; Actinopteri; Clupeiformes; Clupeidae. The record is from RefSeq and is a predicted model, not a curated record. The transcript has 3 exons.